GUGUCAGCAGCCGCGGUAAUACGUAGGGUGCGAGCGUUGUCCGGAAUUACUGGGCGUAAAGAGCUCGUAGGUGGUUUGUCGCGUCGUUUGUGUAAGUCCACGGCUUAACUGUGGGAUGGCAGGCGAUACGGGCAUAACUUGAGUGCUGUAGGGGAGACUGGAAUUCCUGGUGUAGCGGUGAAAUGCGCAGAUAUCAGGAGGAACACCGAUGGCGAAGGCAGGUCUCUGGGCAGUAACUGACGCUGAGGAGCGAAAGCAUGGGUAGCGAACAGGAUUAGAUACCCUGGUAGUCCAUGCCGUAAACGGUGGGCGCUAGGUGUGAGUCCCUUCCACGGGGUUCGUGCCGUAGCUAACGCAUUAAGCGCCCCGCCUGGGGAGUACGGCCGCAAGGCUAAA
RNAcentral lists this ribosomal RNA (396 nucleotides) under uncultured bacterium. Its description in RNAcentral is "bacterial SSU rRNA". It matches the Rfam family "Bacterial small subunit ribosomal RNA", at positions 505 to 898 of the family's 1533-position model. The record is from RNAcentral.